GGGCGGUUAGCUCAGUUGGUUAGAGCACGUGCUCGACACGCACGGGGUCGGUGGUUCGAAUCCACUAUCGCCCA
RNAcentral lists this transfer RNA (74 nucleotides) under Spirochaetaceae bacterium. RNAcentral describes it as "tRNA-Val". It matches the Rfam family "tRNA". Rfam says of the family: Transfer RNA (tRNA) molecules are approximately 80 nucleotides in length. The record is from RNAcentral. Lineage: Bacteria; Pseudomonadati; Spirochaetota; Spirochaetia; Spirochaetales; Spirochaetaceae.